Bemisia tabaci is the source of this 326-nucleotide non-coding RNA. The record is from RefSeq and is a predicted model, not a curated record. Lineage: Eukaryota; Metazoa; Arthropoda; Insecta; Hemiptera; Aleyrodidae.
AAUUCAUGAAAUUACGUGCUUCAAAAUAACCGAGGAGUAAUUGUAGAUGUUCAAAAAUUGCAUUGCCUUCACUAACCUGAUCAACUUCUUUGUCUCGCAUCGGUUUCAGUCACCCAACUCAAAGGAACAUUACCUUCCAUUUUGCCUGAGCAGACGUCAAGGACUUCUAAAAUCCGACACAACUCUCUCACCAUGGCUACAGCCUCCUCUCCAUCAUUGAGAUCAGGCGCAAAAACAAGUUCUAUAAGAGGGAUUCCCGCUCGAUUCAAAUCAAUUAACGUCCUGAAAUUAAAGGAUAAAGAAUGAAAAAAAAUUUGGAAAACCGA